Molecule: ribosomal RNA, 470 nt
Filed under: uncultured bacterium
Lineage: Bacteria
Description: partial 16S ribosomal RNA
Rfam family: Bacterial small subunit ribosomal RNA
Source: RNAcentral
GACGAACGCUGGCGGCGUGCCUAACACAUGCAAGUCGAACGGUGAACGAGGGAGCUUGCUCCCUCCGGAUCAGUGGCGAACGGGUGAGUAACACGUGAGCAAUCUGCCCCGAACUCUGGGAUAAGCGUUGGAAACGACGUCUAAUACCGGAUACGACGCGGGAGGGCAUCCUCUCCGCGUGGAAAGAACUUCGGUUCGGGAUGAGCUCGCGGCCUAUCAGCUUGUUGGUGAGGUAACGGCUCACCAAGGCGACGACGGGUAGCCGGCCUGAGAGGGUGACCGGCCACACUGGGACUGAGACACGGCCCAGACUCCUACGGGAGGCAGCAGUGGGGAAUAUUGCACAAUGGGCGCAAGCCUGAUGCAGCAACGCCGCGUGAGGGACGACGGCCUUCGGGUUGUAAACCUCUUUUAGCAGGGAAGAAGCGAAAGUGACGGUACCUGCAGAAAAAGCACCGGCUAACUACGUG